Molecule: ribosomal RNA, 1863 nt
Filed under: bovine gut metagenome
Description: bacterial LSU rRNA
Rfam family: Bacterial large subunit ribosomal RNA
Source: RNAcentral
UCAAGUAAGUAAGGGCGUACGGCGGAUGCCUUGGCCAUAUCAGCCGAAGAAGGACGCGAUAAGCUGCGAUAAGCUGCGGUGAGGUGCAAGUAACCUUUGACCCGCAGAUCUCCGAAUGGGGAAACCCGGCAGCAGUAGUGCUGUCAUCCUCUAUGAGGAAGGGCACCCGGUGAACUGAAACAUCUAAGUAGCCGGAGGAAAAGGAAUCAACAGAGAUACCCCUAGUAGCGGCGAGCGAACGGGGCAGAGCCCAAACCGGAAUGGGAAACCAAUCCGGGGUUGUGGACUGCUAUCAAAUGCAUGAGUGAAGCAGAAUGAGCUGGGAAGCUCAGCCAGAGAGAGUGAGAGCCUCGUAGGCGUAAGCAAAUGCAUGGAGCAGGAUCCAGAGUACCACGGGACACGAGAAACCCUGUGGGAAGCUGGGGGGACCACCCUCCAAGGCGAAACACUGAUAUGGACCGAUAGCGCAUAGUACCGUGAGGGAAAGGUGAAAAGAACCCCGGGAGGGGAGUGAAAUAGAACCUGAAACCGUAUGUCUACAAGCAGUCGAAGCACUUUAUAGGUGCGACGGCGUGCCUAUUGAAGAAUGAACCGGCGAGUUACUUCAGCUAGCGAGGUUAAGCGGAAAACGUGGAGCCGAAGCGAAAGCGAGUCUGAACAGGGCGUAUAGUUAGUUGGAGUAGACCCGAAACCACAGUGAUCUACCCAUGUCCAGGUUGAAGCACAGGUAAAAAUGUGUGGAGGACCGAACCAGUGAGCGUUGAAAAGCUUUUGGAUGAGAUGUGGGUAGGGGUGAAAUGCCAAUCGAACGUGGAGAUAGCUGGUUCUCCCCGAAAUAGCUUUAGGGCUAGCCUCAUGGCGAGAGUACAGGCGGUAGAGCACUGAACGGGGUAGGGGCCUAUCCGGCUACUGAACCUAAUCAAACUGCGAAUGGCUGUACUUAUCCAUGGGAGUCAGACUGUGAGUAAUAAGGCCCAUAGUCAAGAGGGAAACAGCCCAGACCAACAGCUAAGGUCCCCAAUGCCGUACUAAGUGGCGAAGGAUGUGGAAUUUCGAAAACAACCAGGAUGUUGGCUCAGAAGCAGCCACCAUUAAAAGAGUGCGUAAUAGCUCACUGGUCGAGAGACUCUGCGCCGAAGAUGUCCGGGGCUAAAGUACGGAACCGAAGCUUUGGCAAUUGACAUUAGUCAAUUGGGUAGGGGAGCGUUCCUGCAUGGGAGAAGCCUGACCGGAAGGACAGGUGGACAGGCAGGAAGAGAGAAUGCCGGUAUGAGUAGCGAAAAGAAGGGUGAGAAUCCCUUCCACCGAAAGCCUAAGGGUUCCUGGGCAACGAUCGUCGUCCCAGGGUAAGUCGGGACCUAAUCCGAGGCGGAGACGCGUAGGAGAUGGACAACAGGUUGAAAUUCCUGUACUGGCUGAGGNNGAGGCCGAGAUGCGAUGGGGAGCUUCUGGAGACAGAAGCGAAGGGGCUGGCACUAAACUGUCGAGAAAAGCUUCUAGUGAGGACUCAGGCACCCGUACCGAAACCGACACAGGUAGGCAGGAUGAGAAUUCUAAGGUGCGCGGGAAAACCCUCGUUAAGGAACUCGGCAAAAUAUAUCCGUAACUUCGGGAAAAGGAUAACCCAGCGUACGUGAAGUGCAGAAGCGCAUGGAGCGGAGAUGGGUGGCAGAAGAGAGGCCCAAGCGACUGUUUACCACAAACACAGGUAUCUGCGAAAGCGAGAGCUGACGUAUAGGUGCUGACACCUGCCCGGUGCUGGAAGGUUAAGGGGAAAUGUUAGCGCAAGCGAAGCAUCGAACCGAAGCCCCAGUAAACGGCGGCCGUAACUAUAACGGUCCUAAGGUAGCGAAAUUCCUUGUC